RNAcentral lists this ribosomal RNA (434 nucleotides) under uncultured Lachnospiraceae bacterium. Its description in RNAcentral is "partial 16S ribosomal RNA". It matches the Rfam family "Bacterial small subunit ribosomal RNA", at positions 341 to 792 of the family's 1533-position model. Lineage: Bacteria; Bacillati; Bacillota; Clostridia; Lachnospirales; Lachnospiraceae. The record is from RNAcentral.
ACGGAAGGCAGCAGUGGGGAAUAUUGGACAAUGGGGGAAACCCUGAUCCAGCGACGCCGCGUGAGUGAAGAAGUAUUUCGGUAUGUAAAGCUCUAUCAGCAAGGAAGAAAAUGACGGUACUUGACUAAGAAGCUCCGGCUAAAUACGUGCCAGCAGCCGCGGUAAUACGUAUGGAGCAAGCGUUAUCCGGAUUUACUGGGUGUAAAGGGAGCGUAGACGGCAAAGCAAGUCUGAAGUGAAAUCCCGGGGCUCAACCCCGGAACUGCUUUGGAAACUGCCGGGCUCGAGUACCGGAGGGGCAGGCGGAAUUCCUGGUGUAGCGGUGAAAUGCGUAGAUAUCAGGAAGAACACCGGUGGCGAAGGCGGCCUGCUGGACGGUAACUGACGUUGAGGCUCGAAAGCGUGGGGAGCAAACAGGAUUAGAUACCCUGGUA